Molecule: ribosomal RNA, 276 nt
Filed under: Zodion pictum
Lineage: Eukaryota; Metazoa; Arthropoda; Insecta; Diptera; Conopidae
Description: partial 12S ribosomal RNA
Source: RNAcentral
CAGAGGAACUUGUCCUAUAAUCGAUAAUCCCCGAUGGACCUUACUUAAAUUUGUUACAAUUUAUAUACCGUUGUUAUAAGAAAAUUUUAUAAGAAUAAUAAUUUUCAAUAAUUAAAAUUAUAAUUUAUAUCAGAUCAAGGUGUAGUUUAUGUUUAAGGUGAGAUGAGUUACAAUAAAAUUAUUUAUACGGAUUUUUUAAUGAAAUUUAAAAAUAAAGGUGGAUUUGUUUGUAAAAAAUUAAAUAUAAAAUUUUUGACAUUGCUCUAAAAUAUGCAC